AUAGCCCUACGGGGCGCAGCAGUGGGGGAUAUUGCACAAUGGGGGGAACCCUGAUGCAGCGACGCCGCGUGGGUGAAGGAGCGUUUCGGCGCGUAAAGCCCUAUCGGCAGGGGAGAAGGAGGACGGUACCUGACUAAGAAGCCCCGGCUAACUACGGGCCAGCAGCCGCGGGAAUACGUAGGGGGCAAGCGUUAUCCGGAUUUACUGGGUGUAAAGGGGGCGCAGACGGCAGCGCAAGCCAGGAGUGAAAGACCGGGGCCCAACCCCGGGACCGCUCCUGGAACUG
RNAcentral lists this ribosomal RNA (286 nucleotides) under uncultured bacterium. Its description in RNAcentral is "partial 16S ribosomal RNA". It matches the Rfam family "Bacterial small subunit ribosomal RNA", at positions 333 to 635 of the family's 1533-position model. The record is from RNAcentral.